Folsomia candida is the source of this 1355-nucleotide long non-coding RNA. RefSeq lists it as uncharacterized. The transcript has 5 exons. NCBI's taxonomy places the organism in Eukaryota, Metazoa, Arthropoda, Collembola, Entomobryomorpha, Isotomidae. The record is from RefSeq and is a predicted model, not a curated record.
GUAUCCGUGCCUCAGUCUCAACUCGCCUCGUCUCAUUUUAGCUGCGUUUAAAGGUGAAAUUGGUAAAAUGAUUCAUAUAGAAAUUAUGAAACCUAUUGUAAAUCUCAUCUGUACGGGUGAACCGGUGGGGCGGUCAGGUGAUUCUGUUUUGAGAUAAUGAAGGCGUAUAAUCUGAAAAAGGCUUCAGGAGGGAAAGGCUACUCACAAAAUUUUAUGAAAUCAACAGCAGAACAAGUACAUUUGUAACAUCGUUUGUUGUUUGAGGCAAAAUGAGACACUUAACUUUAACCCUGGUUGUUGUUAUUGUGGUUUUAUUCACAAAAGAUGCAAACAGUUCUGCUGCCAUAAUACUUGAGGUUUUCGACGAAAACGUGUUUGUUCCAAAAAAUGGAUUUAGAGAACAAGGUCUCCGUCUUCACAACCAUUAUCGAUCCUUGAACAAAGUGUCCCCUCUAAAAUUGGAUCAUGAGCUCAACAAGUUGGCUCAUGCACAUGCAGAGAAGUUGGCGUCUUGGAACAAUUUGACGGCUUCGGAGACUGGGUUUGAUGAGAACCUGUGGAGCCAUCGGGGCGAACUGCUCCCACUGGCGAAGGAUCUCGAGUACGCCAUCCGCUGUUGGUACACUGGGAGCACGACGCCAGGCCGGGUGCAGGCCUCGGUCGACCACUUUGUUCUCAGGUCGGACUCCGUGACCAGCGUGGGAUUUGGUGUUGGUACGAGUGAGCACAAUGGGGAAGGAUACAGCGUCGUGGUUGCCUUAUACCAAUAAAGAUCCUUCCCUUUCUUAUGCCCUUCCUAUACACGCACACAAAUUAUGUGUUAGCUUGAACCAUGUACACACUUUUUGUCUGGUUUGCAUUGACUCUGGAAAUAAAGACUUUUGAUUCGAGUUGGUUUGUUUCUGUUUUGGAAAUGUUAUAAAUACGGAUGAAGUCGUCGUCACUUUAGUUGGAGUUACUUUUUUUCAUCUUACUGCUUAUUUACUGUUCCAAUUUCCAUAUAAGUACAAUGGUUAACUGCAAAAAAUUAUUGGUGAUAUUUCUAAUCGUUCUGGUGGUGAUGAGCUCUUUCGCAGAGGGAGGAGGCAUUCUGCAAAAGUUGAAGAGGAAGCUCAAGGGAGGAAAGGGAGGAGGAGGAGGAGGAGGGCGAAGCAAAGGUGGUGGUGGUGGUGGAGGUCACCGUGGAGGGGGCGGAGGACGUGGGGGUGGGGGAAAAGGUGGUGGAUACGGAAAAUAAUUGAUUUACUGUACUAACUAUUUUAUAUUAACUUUUCAAAAAAUACAAUUUUGAGUCUUUGAGGUUUGCCAUUCGGUUGGUUCAAGCCAGUCAAUGAAAUAAAUAUGUACACAAUCUA